This 503-nucleotide ribosomal RNA is filed under the name Pseudomonas aeruginosa. Its description in RNAcentral is "bacterial SSU rRNA". It matches the Rfam family "Bacterial small subunit ribosomal RNA", at positions 764 to 1266 of the family's 1533-position model. The record is from RNAcentral. Lineage: Bacteria; Pseudomonadati; Pseudomonadota; Gammaproteobacteria; Pseudomonadales; Pseudomonadaceae.
GGGAGCAAACAGAAUUAGAUACCCUGGUAGUCCACGCCGUAACCGAUGUCGACUAGCCGUUGGGAUCCUUGACAUCUUAGUGGCGCAGCUAACCCGAUAAGUAGUCCGCAUGGGGAGUACGGCCGCAAGGUUAAAACUCAAAUGAAUUGACGAGGGACCGCACAAUCGGUGGAGCAUGUGGUUUAAUUCCAAGCAACCGGAAGAACCUUACCUGCCCUUGACAUGAUAAGAACUUUCCAGAGAUGGACUGGUGCCUUCGGGAACUCAGACACAGGUGCUGCAUGGCUGUAGUCAGCUCGUGUCGUCAGAUGUUCGGUUCAGUCCAGUAACGAGCGCAACCCUUGUCCUUAGUUACCAGCACUUCGGGUGGGCCCUCUAAGGAGACUGCCGGUGACAAACCGGAGGAAGGUGGGGAUGACGUCAAGUCAUCAUGGCCCUUACAGACCAGGGCUACACACGUGCUACAAUGGUCGGCACAAAGGGUUGCCAAGCCGCAAGGUGGA